GGGGAAUUUUGGACAAUGGGCGCAAGCCUGAUCCAGCCAUGCCGCGUGCGGGAAGAAGGCCUUCGGGUUGUAAACCGCUUUUGUCAGGGAAGAAAAGCUCUGGGCUAAUACCCCGGGGUCAUGACGGUACCUGAAGAAUAAGCACCGGCUAACUACGUGCCAGCAGCCGCGGUAAUACGUAGGGUGCAAGCGUUAAUCGGAAUUACUGGGCGUAAAGCGUGCGCAGGCGGUGAUGCAAGACAGAUGUGAAAUCCCCGGGCUCAACCUGGGAACUGCAUUUGUGACUGCAUCGCUGGAGUGCGGCAGAGGGGGAUGGAAUUCCGCGUGUAGCAGUGAAAUGCGUAGAUAUGCGGAGGAACACCGAUGGCGAAGGCAAUCCCCUGGGCCUGCACUGACGCUCAUGCACGAAAGCGUGGGGAGCAAAC
RNAcentral lists this ribosomal RNA (425 nucleotides) under uncultured bacterium. RNAcentral describes it as "bacterial SSU rRNA". It matches the Rfam family "Bacterial small subunit ribosomal RNA", at positions 356 to 773 of the family's 1533-position model. The record is from RNAcentral.